This 73-nucleotide transfer RNA is filed under the name Methylobacillus rhizosphaerae. Its description in RNAcentral is "tRNA_Lys_TTT". It matches the Rfam family "tRNA". Rfam says of the family: Transfer RNA (tRNA) molecules are approximately 80 nucleotides in length. Lineage: Bacteria; Pseudomonadati; Pseudomonadota; Betaproteobacteria; Nitrosomonadales; Methylophilaceae. The record is from RNAcentral.
GGGCUGUUAGCUCAGUUGGUAGAGCAGCGGACUUUUAAUCCGUUUGUCACAGGUUCGAACCCCGUACAGCCCA